UACAGAGGGUGCAAGCGUUAAUCGGAAUUACUGGGCGUAAAGCGUGCGUAGUCGGUUAUUUAAGUCGGGCGUGAAAGCCCCGGGCUCAACCUGGGAAUUGCGUUCGAUACUGGAUAGCUAGAGUUCGGCAGAGGGAAGCGGAAUUUCCGGUGUAGCGGUGAAAUGCGUAGAUAUCGGAAGGAACAUCAGUGGCGAAGGCGGCCCUCUGGACCAGCACUGACGCUGAGGCACGAAAGCGUGGGGAGCAAACAGG
This 253-nucleotide ribosomal RNA is filed under the name uncultured bacterium. RNAcentral describes it as "partial 16S ribosomal RNA". It matches the Rfam family "Bacterial small subunit ribosomal RNA", at positions 524 to 776 of the family's 1533-position model. The record is from RNAcentral.